RNAcentral lists this ribosomal RNA (577 nucleotides) under uncultured bacterium. RNAcentral describes it as "partial 16S ribosomal RNA". It matches the Rfam family "Bacterial small subunit ribosomal RNA", at positions 355 to 926 of the family's 1533-position model. The record is from RNAcentral.
UGGGGAAUUUUGGACAAUGGGCGAAAGCCUGAUCCAGCAAUGCCGCGUGUGUGAAGAAGGCCUUCGGGUUGUAAAGCACUUUUGUCCGGAAAGAAAUCCUUGGCUCUAAUACAGUCGGGGGAUGACGGUACCGGAAGAAUAAGCACCGGCUAACUACGUGCCAGCAGCCGCGGUAAUACGUAGGGUGCAAGCGUUAAUCGGAAUUACUGGGCGUAAAGCGUGCGCAGGCGGUUUGCUAAGACCGAUGUGAAAUCCCCGGGCUCAACCUGGGAACUGCAUUGGUGACUGGCAGGCUAGAGUAUGGCAGAGGGGGGUAGAAUUCCACGUGUAGCAGUGAAAUGCGUAGAGAUGUGGAGGAAUACCGAUGGCGAAGGCAGCCCCCUGGGCCAAUACUGACGCUCAUGCACGAAAGCGUGGGGAGCAAACAGGAUUAGAUACCCUGGUAGUCCACGCCCUAAACGAUGUCAACUAGUUGUGGGGAUUCAUUUCCUUAGUAACGUAGCUAACGCGUGAAGUUGACCGCCUGGGGAGUACGGUCGCAAGAUUAAAACUCAAAGGAAUUGACGGGGUCAUAGCU